This 200-nucleotide ribosomal RNA is filed under the name uncultured bacterium. RNAcentral describes it as "partial 16S ribosomal RNA". It matches the Rfam family "Bacterial small subunit ribosomal RNA", at positions 29 to 257 of the family's 1533-position model. The record is from RNAcentral.
AACGAACGCUGGCGGCAGGCUUAACACAUGCAAGUCGAACGCCCCGCAAGGGGAGUGGCAGACGGGUGAGUAACGCGUGGGAAUCUACCCAGAUCUUCGGAACAACUGAGGGAAACUUCAGCUAAUACCGGAUACGCCCUACGGGGGAAAGAUUUUAUCGGAUUUGGAUGAGCCCGCGUUGGAUUAGCUAGUUGGUGGGG